Molecule: transfer RNA, 70 nt
Filed under: Ovis aries (sheep)
Lineage: Eukaryota; Metazoa; Chordata; Mammalia; Artiodactyla; Bovidae
Rfam family: tRNA
About the family: Transfer RNA (tRNA) molecules are approximately 80 nucleotides in length. Their secondary structure includes four short double-helical elements and three loops (D, anti-codon, and T loops).
Source: Rfam by way of RNAcentral
UCCCUAAUGGCUUAGACGUAAAGCGUCUGCCUACAAUACAGAAACUCAGCUUCGAUCCCUGGGUGGGGAA